CGAAUGGGGAGAUUCAUCGACGACGAAGCUGGCUCCCGUUGGCGUGCGAUACCCCCGCUGGGACCUCGGUUCCAGAACGCGGGGUACCGCCCUUCGGCGAAUAACCGGCGACGUAGUCGUGCACUUCUCCCUUAGUAGAACGUCGCGACCCGUUGUGUGUCGGUCUACGGCCUGAUCUAUUAGACUGUCGCGGUGGCAUUCGUUCGCUCGCGGCAGAGGGUCGGUCGCCCGGCCGGCUGCACGACGGUACUCCGACGGUAUCGGGCCGCAACCAAUCCCAUUCUCGAAUGGUAUAUGCGUCCAGGCCCGUCGCAAGCUCGGACAGCACCCGGAGCGUGUGGACGCAGUGCCCUCGCCGGGUCUGGCCAGCUGUUAGCAGACGGUGUCCUCGGACCGGCCAAGCUUCGAAAUACCGGUCAGCGACGCUAUUGCUUUGGGUACUCUCAGGACCCGUCUUGAAACACGGACCAAGGAGUCUAACAUGUGCGCGAGUCAUUGGGACAUUGAAACCUAAAGGCGAAAUGAAAGUGAAAGUCGUCGUAAGAGUCGACCAAGGGAGGAUGGGCCGCGUCACGUCGCGGCCUCGCACUCCCGGGGCGUCUCGUUCUCGUUGAGAAGAGGCGCACCCAGAGCGUACACGUUGGGACCCGAAAGAUGGUGAACUAUGCCUGGUCAGGACGAAGUCAGGGGAAACCCUGGUGGAGGUCCGUAGCGAUUCUGACGUGCAAAUCGAUCGUCGGAACUGGGUAUAGGGGCGAAAGACUAAUCGAACCAUCUAGUAGCUGGUUCCCUCCGAAGUUUCCCUCAGGAUAGCUGGCACUCGCUCGUUCAUUCGUGAACGCGUGCGAGUUUCAUCUGGUAAAGCGAAUGAUUAGAGGCCUUGGGGCCGAAACGACCUCAACCUAUUCUCAAACUUUAAAUGGGUGAGAUCUCUGGCUUGCUUGAAAUCAUGAAGCCAAGAGACUAAUUUGAAUCAGAGUGCCAAGUGGGCCAAUUUUGGUAAGCAGAACUGGCGCUGUGGGAUGAACCAAACGCAAAGUUAAGGCGCCUAAGUCGACGCUCAUGGGAUACCAUGAAAGGCG
Molecule: ribosomal RNA, 1082 nt
Filed under: Colletes scopiventer
Lineage: Eukaryota; Metazoa; Arthropoda; Insecta; Hymenoptera; Colletidae
Description: partial 28S ribosomal RNA
Rfam family: Eukaryotic large subunit ribosomal RNA
Source: RNAcentral